This 429-nucleotide long non-coding RNA is filed under the name Brassica napus (rape). RNAcentral describes it as "long non-coding RNA (BNAP_LNC010066)". Lineage: Eukaryota; Viridiplantae; Streptophyta; Magnoliopsida; Brassicales; Brassicaceae. The record is from RNAcentral.
CUAUAUGAUUUAAAAAAUAAAUAAAUUCUAUAUUUAUUUUACAAAAAAAUGAUAGAAAAGAGGUAAUACAAAUUCAUGAAAAUCUAUAUCAAUCUAAAAAAGUUAUGAUCAAAUUUUAUAAGUCGAUGUAUAUAAAUUUUCACAAUCCACAUUAUUUUUUAAAAUUUAUCAACUUUCAAAAUUCACAAACUCUACACAAAUUCAUCUUCCAGUAACCUCCCGUUAUAAUAUUUUCUAAAAAAUGUGUUUAUGAUAUUAAAACUAAAUGUUUAAUUUCUUCUCUAUGAUAUUAGCUCAUCACAAAGUUACAAAACCACUAAAAUUGUGCAAUUUUAUACUGAAGACAUGAAAUUCUACCAAAAUAAAUAUUUUAAUUUCAGUGACAAAAUUUAUAACAAAUGCAUGGUUCCUUUCAAACAUCACAUAUUA